UACAGAGGGUGCGAGCGUUAAUCGGAAUUACUGGGCGUAAAGCGCGCGUAGGCGGCUUUGCAAGUCGGGGGUGAAAUCCCCAGGCUUAACCUGGGAACUGCAUUCGAGACUGCAUUGCUAGAGUAUGGGAGAGGGAAGUGGAAUUUCCGGUGUAGCGGUGAAAUGCGUAGAUAUCUGGAGGAACACCGGUGGCGAAGGCGGCAUCCUGGACCGGCAUUGACGCUGAGGAGCGAAAGCCAGGGGAGCAAACGGG
This 253-nucleotide ribosomal RNA is filed under the name uncultured bacterium. Its description in RNAcentral is "partial 16S ribosomal RNA". It matches the Rfam family "Bacterial small subunit ribosomal RNA", at positions 524 to 776 of the family's 1533-position model. The record is from RNAcentral.